RNAcentral lists this ribosomal RNA (254 nucleotides) under uncultured bacterium. Its description in RNAcentral is "partial 16S ribosomal RNA". It matches the Rfam family "Bacterial small subunit ribosomal RNA", at positions 524 to 776 of the family's 1533-position model. The record is from RNAcentral.
UACAGAGGAUGCAAGCGUUAUUCGGAAUCACUGGGCUUAAAGCGCGUGUAGGCGGGGCGGCACGUCGGUCGCUGAAAGCCCCCGGCUCAACCGGGGAACGGGCGCCGAUACGACCGCCCUCGAGGGACGUAGGGGGACCUGGAACUUCCGGUGGAGCGGUGAAAUGCGUUGAGAUCGGAAGGAACGCCCGUGGCGAAAGCGAGGUCCUGGACGUCUGCUGACGCUGAGACGCGAAAGCCAGGGGAGCGAACGGG